This is a non-coding RNA of Salmo salar (Atlantic salmon), 54 nucleotides long. The record is from Rfam. NCBI's taxonomy places the organism in Eukaryota, Metazoa, Chordata, Actinopteri, Salmoniformes, Salmonidae.
UUAUUUCCAAUUUGUAAGUAACUCUGGAUAAGAGCGUCUGCUAAAUGACGUAAA